This 314-nucleotide ribosomal RNA is filed under the name uncultured bacterium. Its description in RNAcentral is "bacterial SSU rRNA". It matches the Rfam family "Bacterial small subunit ribosomal RNA", at positions 28 to 334 of the family's 1533-position model. The record is from RNAcentral.
GAUGAACGCUAGCUACAGGCUUAACACAUGCAAGUCGAGGGGCAGCAUGGUCUUAGCUUGCUAAGACUGAUGGCGACCGGCGCACGGGUGAGUAACACGUAUCCAACCUGGCCCAUACUCGGGUAUAGCCUCUCGAAAGGGAGAUUAAUCCCCGAUGUUGUUGUUAUGUCGCAUGAUGUUUCAACCAAAGAAUUUCGGUAUGGGAUGGGGAUGCGUUCCAUUAGCCUGUUGGCGGGGUAACGGCCCACCAAGGCGACGAUGGAUAGGGGUUCUGAGAGGAAGGUCCCCCACACUGGAACUGAGACACGGUCCAG